Tupaia belangeri chinensis (Chinese tree shrew) is the source of this 478-nucleotide long non-coding RNA. RefSeq lists it as uncharacterized. Lineage: Eukaryota; Metazoa; Chordata; Mammalia; Scandentia; Tupaiidae. The record is from RefSeq and is a predicted model, not a curated record. The transcript is spliced from 3 exons.
CAUGGCCAUUCAUGCAUGGCCAUUGAAUGCCUAAGGGAGCCAGGCCAUCCUUUGUGCCCUGUUAACUAUGGGCCAGAAGUUCCAAAUAACCCCUGAGAUUGACAGUCUCUCAGUGCCUUCAGAUUUAGACUUGAACUACACUAGCAUCUCUCUUGGGUCUCUAGCUUUGCUGAUUCACCCUGAAGAUUUGGGACUUGUCAGUGUCCAUAAUCAGUUGUUCCUCAGUAUCAACGGAGGAUUAGCUCCUGGACCCCUGUGGAUACCAUAAUUCACAGAUACUCAAGUUUCUUCCAGCCAUCUGUAUCUGCAGGUUCCACAUCCACAGAUGGGGAGGAAAUUGAUCCACAGUUGUUCGAAUCUGCAGAAGAAGAAACCAAAGAUGUAAAAGGUCGAGUGUACAUUCUUUUUUUGUACCAAAUCUUUGAAAUCUGAUGUGUAUUUAACACUUACAGCAUAUCUUAGUUUGGAGACUUGAUUU